Molecule: unclassified non-coding RNA, 21 nt
Filed under: synthetic construct
Source: RNAcentral
AAUCAGCUAAGUAUACUGCCA